UACAGAGAGUGCAAACGUUGUUCGGAAUCACUGGGCUUAAAGCGCACGUAGGCGGCAUCGUAAGUGUCGGGUGAAAUCCCACGGCUCACCCGUGGAACUGCCCGGCAGACUGCGAUGCUUGAGUGUGGUAGGGGAAAGCGGAACUCCUGGUGGAGCGGUGAAAUGCGUAGAUAUCAGGAGGGACACCGGUGGCGAAGGCGGCUUUCUGGUCCACAACUGACGCUGAGGUGCGAAAGCUAGGGGAGCAAACGGG
Molecule: ribosomal RNA, 253 nt
Filed under: uncultured bacterium
Lineage: Bacteria
Description: partial 16S ribosomal RNA
Rfam family: Bacterial small subunit ribosomal RNA
Source: RNAcentral